Molecule: small nucleolar RNA, 105 nt
Filed under: Henningerozyma blattae CBS 6284
Lineage: Eukaryota; Fungi; Ascomycota; Saccharomycetes; Saccharomycetales; Saccharomycetaceae
Description: Tetrapisispora blattae CBS 6284 Small nucleolar RNA snR85
Rfam family: Small nucleolar RNA snR85
Source: Rfam by way of RNAcentral
AGCCAGCACAUAUGUCAAAUUCCCGGUUGACGUAAUACUUCAUAUCUUCCGGAGCCGUAAUUGUGCUAAUAUUAAAGUUCUCGAGCAAUUUCUUUCUCAACAUCU